RNAcentral lists this small RNA (584 nucleotides) under Pan troglodytes (chimpanzee). RNAcentral's name for it is "retained intron". The record is from RNAcentral. Lineage: Eukaryota; Metazoa; Chordata; Mammalia; Primates; Hominidae.
UAAAUACCAGUAGCAUACCCCAAUCAUUGUAAUAAUUAGUCUCCCUUCACACAUUUUCAUAUGGCCCCUAGAUUACGUAGAGCAACUACACAAUUAGUGCUUCAUAAAACAUAGAUUGAGAUACUCAGCCUAUCAGUUUUGUCCUCUACCUUCACUUUUCCAGGUUUAACAGCUCUAGUUGCUUUCAUCUUUUUUGUAUAUCUGUGGUAUAUUGAAAUGACUAAACAGUAAGUUUUGAUUGAGAAUUCUAGGUUGAGAAAUAAGUAGGCUGAAUGUAGUAAUUCCAGCCCUUAUACAUUGGCUUUCUGCUCCUAUCAGGAGGUUCCCAUGAUCCCUCGGCCCCACUAUGCCCAACCUGGCUGUGUCUACUUCAUCUGUUUGCUCCGAGAUGACUUGCUGCUUCGUCAGGGUGACUGUGUGUAUCUGAUGAGGGAUAGUCGGCGCACCCCUGAUGGCCACCCGGUCCGUCAGUCCUAUCGACUGUUAUCUCACAUUAACCGAGAUAAACUUGACAUCUUUCGCAUUGAGAAGCUUUGGAAGAAUGAAAAAGAGGAACGGUUUGCCUUUGGUCACCAUUAUUUCCG